RNAcentral lists this long non-coding RNA (756 nucleotides) under Lathyrus oleraceus (garden pea). Its description in RNAcentral is "Pisum sativum (pea) long non-coding RNA (PSAT_LNC021719)". Lineage: Eukaryota; Viridiplantae; Streptophyta; Magnoliopsida; Fabales; Fabaceae. The record is from RNAcentral.
AUUUAUAGAACAUUUUCUGAAACUCCUUAAAAGUCAAAAAAACAUAAAUAUUUUUACCACAACAUAUGCUUUAUACAUUAUAAAUAAGUCAAAAAAUAUUUUACUUUUACAUGCAACAAAAGAAAAAAUGGCUAAAACCCUCAAGAUUGUGAACAAUAUGAUUUUAUUUCUUUUCCUAUUUCUUAUCAUAAAGAAUGCUGAAGCAGGUAAUUUCCAAGGCAAGCCUUUAUCGGAGAAAGCUAAAGGUAAUUUACUUUUUUCAUCCUUUUCUAAAUUUCCUUCUAUAGUUUGUAAUUCAAAUACAAUAUUUUAUCUCAUUUUAAUAAUAUUAUUUUAUUAUGUUUUUUCAUUGUAACAGCAAAGUUAAGGGAGUGUCUAAAUUCUAAUUGUCACCUAAAUCUGGUAGACGUGUACCAUUGUAUUAUGAGCAAAUGUGACUCAAAACAACCGAAUGAAGAUGAAUAAGUAUUAAAAUAAAGGAAUAUCAGAAUCAAAAGAGUACUCUAAUAUAUGUAAUGGAACCAAAUAAUUGUAUCUUUUAUUUAUUUUUAUAUUUGUUAGUUUACAUAUUUUGCAAUUCCGAGUUUGUACUCUAAGAUUUUGGUAUUAAAAUGAAAUAUAGAAAAAAAAUAUUAUUAUUAGAUUGUGUUCUUCUCUCUUAAUUAUAUAACAUUUUCUUUCCAACAAAUUUUUAGAAUGUUAUAGGUUUUGAUAUACAAAUUAAAGCUUUGAAUUAUAUUACAUAUUUCUGAAUUA